ACCCGGCUGACGAGUGCCAAAUAGGAUGAAACGGGCGUCCUGGAU
Molecule: non-coding RNA, 45 nt
Organism: Schistosoma rodhaini
Lineage: Eukaryota; Metazoa; Platyhelminthes; Trematoda; Strigeidida; Schistosomatidae
Source: Rfam